This 92-nucleotide ribosomal RNA is filed under the name Ricinus communis (castor bean). The record is from RNAcentral. Lineage: Eukaryota; Viridiplantae; Streptophyta; Magnoliopsida; Malpighiales; Euphorbiaceae.
CCGGAUCCCAUCAGAACUCCGAAUUUAAACGUGCUUGGGCGAGAGUAGUACUAAGAUGGGUGAGCUCUUGGGAAGUCCUCGUGUUGCACCCC